Molecule: ribosomal RNA, 497 nt
Filed under: uncultured bacterium
Lineage: Bacteria
Description: partial 16S ribosomal RNA
Rfam family: Bacterial small subunit ribosomal RNA
Source: RNAcentral
GAUGAACGCUGGCGGCGUGCCUAAUACAUGCCAGUCGAGCGAACGGACGAGAAGCUUGCUUCUCUGAUGUUAGCGGCGGACGGGAGCGUCACACGUGGAUAACCUACCUAUCCGACUGGGAUACCUUCGCGAGACCGGAGCUACUACCGGAUAAUAUUUUGAACCGCAUGGUUCAAAAGUGAAAGACGGUCUUGCUGUCACUUAUAGAUGGAUCCGCGCUGCAUUAGCUAGUUGGUAGGGUAACGGCUUACCAAAGCAACGAUGCAUAGCCGACCUGAGAGCGUGGUUGGCCAGACUGGAAGUGAGACAGGGUCCAGACUCCGACGGGAGGCAGCAGUAGGGAAUCUUCCGCGAUGGAGGAAAGGCUGACGGAGGAACGCCGCGUGAGGGAUGAAGGACUUAGGAUCGGAAAGCUCUGUUAGUAGGAAAGAACAAAUGUGUAAUUAACUGUGCACAUCUUGACGGUACCGAAUCAGAAAGCCACGGCUAACUACGUG